Molecule: long non-coding RNA, 2251 nt
Filed under: Capra hircus (goat)
Lineage: Eukaryota; Metazoa; Chordata; Mammalia; Artiodactyla; Bovidae
Description: lncRNA (ENSCHIG00010026426.1)
Source: RNAcentral
AUUAAUUUAAAAAAAGAUAGAGACGCAGACACCAAGACAAUAUUAGAAACAUCAAAGAUUUAUGUAGGAUAUACCUAUAAGAGAUAAAGGGUUGAGGAACAGAGAAAGGCUUCAGAGUGCAAUGUGGCUCUAAACCUAAGAGGGAGCAGGAAAGGAAACGAGGCUCAGGACACAGUUCAGGCCUGAAAAAGUCAGGCCAGAAGGGAGCCCCAGGGCAAAGACAACUGUUGGGAGAGUCUUGUGUGGGCAGGAACAGCUCAGCCCUGGUCCCUCUGUCAGGCUCAGUCACUGGCUGUGAGCAGCCCAGGGAAAGCGUCUGGAGAUGUCUGCUAACUAGGCUUCUCAUAGCAGGUCAGCGUUUGGAAGGAGACCGAUGCGACACCUGGCUGCUGUGUAAAGGACUGUCACUCAGUCCUUCUUCACUUGUCAGUUUCUGGGACAUACAACAACAAGAUGUUUCCUUCACUGAGCUUUGAAUGGGUCUUAUGAAGAAUAUUUUCAAGUGGUGCCUGCAUUUUGACUUUACAAGGCCAUCAUUACUGACUUUACAAGAGCUUCUGUGGAUAUAUGUUGCCCUAUCACCAACUUUGCUGGCGAUUUAAAUUCAGCACUAAAUUGGCUCCAAGAAUGUUAACCAACGAAUUUGGAUAGCACAGUUUCUGACAUCUUAUCUAGGGGAAAUCUCAGCUGUUCCCUUGCAGAAAUAAGUUUGGAGCAGGGCUGCAAUGCAACCUGAAUUACAGGGCAGAUGAACCAGCUACAAAUGGACAUUCUACCACCACAUGUUCCGUUCCAGAGAAGGAUGCAAUCAGUUCAAGCUGUUUUUGACUGAUGGUUCAGAUCAUGGUCUUGUAAACAGGUCUGAAAAUAGCUGCUUUUUAAAGACUGAAAAUUCCUGUAAUUAGGGUAUGCCUUAAAAAUUAACCCUAAAAAAAAAAUAAAGAUUGGAGGAUGGAGUAGCUUUCAGUCUUGAAUUGCUAGCUGGAUGGCUGCAGCACUGUUCUUAAAAGAGGAGGAAGCAGGUCAUUAGAAGGGAUGUGUCUAAAAGCUAUGUGUCAGAAAAGAAAGGAAAAUGGAGUUUCCUUGGUGCUGGAGAACUGUGUAAUUAACUGGGAUAACAAGCACUGAUAUUUAUUGUGGUGGGAUGCAAGGAAGAAGCUGAAAAACAACACUCCUGGUGUCUCUGCUCCACAUCUGCCAAACUAAUUUGGGGGUAAUUUUAUCAUUUUAAUCUGUGUGAUGUUCUUCCCCAGUUGCUAAAGUACCCUGGUGUAUACCAGAUGUCAAACAUUUAAUGAUGUCUCCGAGGCUCAGGAUGGAUUGGAUUGCAGGUGUUUAAUGCUUACCAGGCCUUUAGAUAAACCCAGAAAUUGGUGUUUCCUGGUUAGCUCUGAUUGACAAUACUUCGAUCCUUUAGUAAAUGUUAAUGGCCAUUCUGGCCACUAGGAGGAGCUAGAGGCUAUUCCAUCCACUUUGCUUUGUAUCACCUAAGACUGGUGCAGAUGUAAAAGGCUUCGUUCAGGUACUUGGGAUGUAAGGAGUUAGUACAAUGAAAGAUGGAAUUAAAACUCCCAGCCAAUAGAGAUAUGGCUUGAAAUACAGUAAAGUGACUAAGAGUACAUAGUUCCCNNNNNNNNNNNNNNNNNNNNNNNNNNNNNNNNNNNNNNNNNNNNNNNNNNNNNNNNNNNNNNNNNNNNNNNNNNNNNNNNNNNNNNNNNNNNNNNNNNNGAAAUACAGUAAAGUGACUAAGAGUACAUAGUUCCCAGAGGCUAGGAUUUAAGUCUUGGCAAAACAUUAACAAAACUCUGAGUCUCGAUGUCUUCAACUUUAGUGUAAGGAUAAUAUUAGCAUCUAUCUCUUAGAUUCAUUGUGAGAAAAAAUUAAAAUUAUCCAAAUGAAGAAUUUAGCUUAGUGUCUGGUACAACCUAAAUGCUGUGCCAUAAAUGUUAUUUAGUUUUGAUAUUAUUAUCUGAUUGUGGAGCUUGGCUUCCAGCUAAGGUGAAUGAUGACUUAGGUUACCUAUGCUAUAGUUCCCUUUCUAGAAGUAGUUUACCUGGAUAUUUGAAACACUAAGUCUAGAGUCAUACAGACUUGGAUUCGAGUCCUGGUUUAGACAUUCAAUAAGUCUGUGACCUUGGGAAGUUUAUUUAACUUUGUUAAACCUCUGUUUAAUGAUCUUUAUCUUUUCCUGCUUUAUUGAGAUACAACUGACACAUAAAACCAGGUAAAUUUAAGGUACAACAUGACAAUU